UAGGGAAUCUUCCGCAAUGGACGAAAGUCUGACGGAGCAACGCCGCGUGAGUGAAGAAGGUCUUCGGAUCGUAAAGCUCUGUUGUUAGAGAAGAAGAGUUAUGGGAGUAACUGACCAUAAUGUGACGGUAUCUAACCAGAAAGCCACGGCUAACUACGUGCCAGCAGCCGCGGUAAUACGUAGGUGGCGAGCGUUGUCCGGAUUUAUUGGGUGUAAAGGGAGUGUAGGCGGUUUUUUAAGUCUGAUGUGAAAGCCCACGGCUCAACCGUGGAGGGUCAUUGGAAACUGGGAGACUUGAGUGCAGAAGAGGAGAGUGGAAUUCCAUGUGUAGCGGUGAAAUGCGUAGAUAUAUGGAGGAACACCAGUGGCGAAGGCGACUCUCUGGUCUGUAACUGACGCUGAGGCUCGAAAGCGUGGGGAGCAAACAG
This 428-nucleotide ribosomal RNA is filed under the name uncultured bacterium. Its description in RNAcentral is "bacterial SSU rRNA". It matches the Rfam family "Bacterial small subunit ribosomal RNA", at positions 355 to 775 of the family's 1533-position model. The record is from RNAcentral.